AGCUGCAGCCGCGGCCAAUAGGCGAGAGACUUCUUGUUUCCUGGCAGAGCGGGGUCCCGGCACCACGGCACUCGGGUUUUGUUUGGGUCCUGGGUGGAGGACCCGGGUGCCGGGGCCCGAGGUGCCGCCUCGCUAGCGGGAGAGGGAGCGGGAGCACCGGCCCGGAGAGAGCUCUCAGGGCCAGAGUGGGGCAAGAGGAUGCUUUCCCAGCCCCACCAUGGAGCUGCGCUGUGGGGGAUUGCUGUUCAGUUCUCGCUUUGAUUCAGGGAACCUAGCCCAUGUGGAAAAGGUGGAAUCUGUGUCUAGUGAUGCAGAAGGAGUAGGAGUAGGAGGAGGGGCAUCGGCCCCCACUGUUAGCAUUGCUUCUUCCCCUGACUACGAGUUCAACGUGUGGACCCGACCAGACUGUGCUGAAACCGAAUUUGAGAACGGGAACAGGUCAUGGUUUUACUUCAGUGUCCGGGGAGGAACUCCAGGGAAACUCAUCAAGAUCAACAUUAUGAACAUGAACAAGCAAAGCAAACUUUAUUCCCAGGGUAUGGCCCCCUUUGUGCGCACACUGCCCUACCGGCCACGCUGGGAACGCAUUCGAGAACGGCCCACCUUUGAAAUGACAGAGACGCAGUUUGUGUUAUCCUUUGUUCACCGUUUUGUGGAGGGCCGUGGGGCCACCACCUUCUUCGCCUUCUGCUACCCCUUCUCCUACAGUGACUGCCAGGAUUUGCUAAACCAACUAGACCAGCGCUUUCUGGAGAACCACCCUACCCAUAACAGCCCCCUGGAUACCAUCUAUUACCACCGGGAGCUCCUUUGCUAUUCUCUGGAUGGACUUCGUGUAGAUCUAUUAACAAUCACUUCCUGCCAUGGGCUUCGAGAAGAUCGAGAGCCCCGCCUAGAGCAGCUGUUUCCUGAUACCAGCACCCCCCGACCAUUCCGUUUUACAGGCAAGAGGAUCUUCUUCUUAAGCAGCAGAGUACACCCUGGGGAGACUCCAUCUAGCUUUGUCUUCAAUGGCUUUCUGGACUUCAUCCUUCGACCCGAUGACCCCCGGGCCCAAACCCUACGCCGCCUUUUUGUAUUUAAGCUGAUUCCCAUGUUGAAUCCUGAUGGUGUGGUCCGGGGCCACUACCGCACUGAUUCACGGGGAGUGAAUCUGAACCGUCAGUACCUGAAGCCUGAUGCUGUCCUGCACCCGGCCAUCUUUGGGGCUAAAGCUGUGCUUCUUUACCACCAUGUGCACUCUCGUCUGAACUCCCAGAGUCCCUCUGAACACGAGCCCAGUCCCCGCCUCCCUUGUGAUGCUCCUCUUUCUGAUCUUGAGAAAGCCAACAAUCUCCACAAUGAAAGUCGCCUUGGACAGUUAUCUGACAGUGAUAACCCUGAGACCUGGACCCAGGCAGAGCCAGUGGAACAGAAGGCGAACAGUGAGUGGAUUAUGCCAGAACAGUCUACUGAACUUGAGGCACCAGCCCCUGACACAAUUCCCCCCAAAGAGAGUGGUGUUGCUUACUAUGUGGACCUGCACGGACAUGCUUCCAAAAGGGGCUGCUUCAUGUACGGAAACAGCUUUAGUGAUGAGAGCACCCAGGUGGAAAACAUGCUAUAUCCAAAGCUCAUCUCCUUGAAUUCAGCCCACUUUGACUUCCAGGGCUGCAAUUUCUCAGAGAAAAAUAUGUAUGCUCGAGACCGUAGAGAUGGCCAAUCCAAAGAGGGAAGCGGUCGUGUUGCAAUCUACAAAGCCUCAGGGAUAAUCCACAGCUACACACUUGAAUGCAACUACAACACUGGACGCUCAGUAAACAGCAUCCCUGCUGCCUGCCACGACAAUGGGCGUGCCAGCCCUCCUCCCCCGCCAGCUUUCCCUUCCAGAUACACUGUGGAACUAUUUGAGCAGGUGGGACGAGCUAUGGCCAUUGCAGCUCUGGAYAUGGCAGAAUGUAAUCCAUGGCCACGAAUUGUGCUGUCAGAGCACAGCAGCCUCACUAAUCUACGGGCCUGGAUGCUAAAGCAUGUACGAAACACCCGAGGCCUCAGCAGCACUGUGAACAUGGGCAUCAGCAAGAAGAGAGGCUCUCGAACUCCACCCAAAAGUAACAAUGUAUUGCCCAUUUCCUGCUCUGAAAACACCUUGAGCCGGGCACGAAGUUUUAGCACUGGCACAAGUGCUGGUGGUAGCAGCAGCAGCCAACAGAAUUCUCCACAGAUGAAGAACUCCCCCAGCUUUCCUUUUCAUGGCAGUCGGCCUGCAGGGCUUCCAGGCCUGGGCUCUAGCACCCAAAAGGUCAAUCACCGGGUGCUGGGUCCUGUCAGAGAGCCCCGAAGCCAGGACAGGAGACGGAGGCAACAGCCACUGAACCAUCGACCUCCUGCAAGCAGCCUGGCCCCAUCCCCAACUCCUGCUAAUACCAGCCCAGCCUCCUCACGCAACCUGGGCUCCUGCCUCCUGCCCAAUUCACUCAGUCUAUCAGGGAGUAGCUGCUCACUCUUAUCUUCAGGGGACAAGCCAGAGGCUGUCAUGGUGAUUGGGAAAGGUCUGCUAGGGGCUGGCGCUCGGAUCCCCUGCAUCAGGACUCGAUUGCAGACCUGCCAGAGGAGAGUUUCCGCCAGGAGGGGUCCCGGAUUCCCCAGGCUAGGCCCAGGUUGGGCCGGGGCUCACCGCCGACUUGCAGAGGGGUAAGAGGCUCUUCAGGCCCCACAUCCCCUAUCUCCAGGACCAGAGAAAGCAGUGAGCCAGAGCCGGGACCCGGUCCUGCUAUACCAGGGAUGCCUCAGGCCGGCCCCCCACGGCCCCGCUCUGCCCCUGCCUUUUCUCCUAUUUCCUGUUCUCUAUCUGAUGUCCCAUCCCGGAUUUGUUACAGCAGGGGGCCCUUGGGCCAGCCUGAGGUUUGUUUUGUCCCUAAAUCUCCCCCACUCACCGUUUCUCCCCGGGUUUGAUAAUGCCUUUACUUCCAUGCCCAGGAUAGGGUCCCAAAGUGGGGGAACACAGUGAGAAAUAUGAUAGUCCCCUCCUUGGGCUGCAGAUUCCAUGUUACAACAUAACUCUUUGGAAUGCCAGCCACUAUCUGAGGCCUUGCAGAGCAUUACCUUGAGAUGGGACAAAACAGGGACCUGUACCCCUUCCCUCCCUCCACAGCACAAGAUUUUGGGACCACAAAAAAUAUAUAUCUAUAUUUUUGUAUUGGGGGGAGGGGAGGGAGUAGAAAAGCAGCCCCUAUACUGGGCCCUAUUCAGUGGCAGCUUCUUGUUCCAUAKGGUUAAGGAAGACUUUGAGGAAAUAAAAGUUGUUUGGAAAAAUCCA
Urocitellus parryii (Arctic ground squirrel) is the source of this 3298-nucleotide non-coding RNA. The record is from RefSeq and is a predicted model, not a curated record. NCBI's taxonomy places the organism in Eukaryota, Metazoa, Chordata, Mammalia, Rodentia, Sciuridae.